UCUAUGCCACACACUUCAUUUCUAUUGAAAGC
This 32-nucleotide non-coding RNA is filed under the name Mus musculus (house mouse). Lineage: Eukaryota; Metazoa; Chordata; Mammalia; Rodentia; Muridae. The record is from RNAcentral.